UGGCGACCGGCAAACGGGUGCGGAACACGUACGCAACCUUCCUUUAAGUGGAGAAUAGCCCAGGGAAACUUGGAUUAAUACUCCGUAAUAUUACGAGAUGGCAUCAUUUUGUAAUUAUAGCUCCGGCGCUUAAAGAUGGGCGUGCGCCUGAUUAGGUAGUUGGCGGGGUAACGGCCCACCAAGCCUUCGAUCAGUAACUGGUGUGAGAGCACGACCAGUCACACGGGCACUGAGACACGGGCCCGACUCCUACGGGAGGCAGCAGUAAGGAAUAUUGGUCAAUGGACGCAAGUCUGAACCAGCCAUGCCGCGUGGAGGAUGAAGGUCCUCUGGAUUGUAAACUUCUUUUAUUUGGGAAGAAACCCACGAUUUCUAUUGUGGUUGACGGUACCAGAUGAAUAAGCACCGGCUAACUCCGUGCCAGCAGCCGCGGUAAUACGUAGGGUGCAAGCGUUAAUCGGAAUUACUGGGCGUAAAGCGUACGCAGGCGGCUUUGCAAGACAGGUGUGAAAUCCCCGGGCCUAACCUGGGAACUGCAUUUGUGACUGCAUGGCUAGAGUUUGUCAGAGGGGGGUGGAAUUCCACGUGUAGCAGUGAAAUGCGUAGAUAUGUGGAGGAACACCGAUGGCGAAGGCAGCCCCCUGGGAUGUGACUGACGCUCAUGUACGAAAGCGUGGGGAUCAAACAGGAUUAGA
Molecule: ribosomal RNA, 695 nt
Filed under: uncultured Bacteroidota bacterium
Lineage: Bacteria; Pseudomonadati; Bacteroidota
Description: bacterial SSU rRNA
Rfam family: Bacterial small subunit ribosomal RNA
Source: RNAcentral